Molecule: ribosomal RNA, 189 nt
Filed under: Leogorrus litura
Lineage: Eukaryota; Metazoa; Arthropoda; Insecta; Hemiptera; Reduviidae
Description: partial 28S ribosomal RNA
Rfam family: Eukaryotic large subunit ribosomal RNA
Source: RNAcentral
GCUUGCGCUCGGUUGAGAAGAGUCUCAUCCGGUAGAGCGAAUGAUUAGAGGCAUUGGGGUCGAAACGACCUCAACCUAUUCUCAAACUCCAAAUAGAUGAGACCCCCCGGCUUUCUUAAAAGUGAAGCCGUGGGACUAGGAUCAGAGUGCCAAGUGGGCCAAUUUUGGUAAGCAGAACUGGCGCUGUGG